CGCGUAGGUGGCCUGAUAAGUAGGGGGUGAAAUCUCACGGCUCAACCGGGAGGCUGCCUUCUAGACUGUUGGGCUCGAGCAUGGUAGAGGCUGGUGGAAUUCCCGGUGUAGCGGUGGAAUGCGUAGAGAUCGGGAAGAACAUCGGUGGCGAAGGCGGCCAGCUGGGCCAUUGCUGACACUGAUGCGCGAAAGCGUGGGGAGCAAACA
Molecule: ribosomal RNA, 207 nt
Filed under: uncultured bacterium
Lineage: Bacteria
Description: partial 16S ribosomal RNA
Rfam family: Bacterial small subunit ribosomal RNA
Source: RNAcentral